RNAcentral lists this ribosomal RNA (252 nucleotides) under uncultured bacterium. Its description in RNAcentral is "partial 16S ribosomal RNA". It matches the Rfam family "Bacterial small subunit ribosomal RNA", at positions 524 to 776 of the family's 1533-position model. The record is from RNAcentral.
UACAGAGGUCUCAAGCGUUGUUCGGAUUCAUUGGGCGUAAAGGGCGCGUAGGCGGUGCGGUGCGGUUUCGGUGAAAUCCCUCGGCCCAACCGAGGAACAGCCGAGGCUACGGCCGUGCUAGACGGCAUCAGGGGACAGUGGACUCCCGGUGGAGCGGUGAAAUGCGUAGAUAUCGGGAGGAACGCCGGUGGCGAAAGCGACUGUCUGGGGUGCCUGUGACGCUGAGGCGCGAAAGCCAGGGGAUCAAACGGG